This 73-nucleotide transfer RNA is filed under the name Rhodospira trueperi. It matches the Rfam family "tRNA". From Rfam's summary of the family: Transfer RNA (tRNA) molecules are approximately 80 nucleotides in length. Lineage: Bacteria; Pseudomonadati; Pseudomonadota; Alphaproteobacteria; Rhodospirillales; Rhodospirillaceae. RNAcentral also lists the same sequence under 3 other names. The record is from Rfam by way of RNAcentral.
GUGCCCAUAGCUCAGAUGGUAGAGCAGCUGACUUUUAAUCAGCGGGUCCCAGGUUCGAGUCCUGGUGGGCACA